AUCUGGAUGACAAGUCCCAAAUAGGAUGAAAUGUGCAUCCUGGAU
RNAcentral lists this non-coding RNA (45 nucleotides) under Trichobilharzia regenti. The record is from RNAcentral. Lineage: Eukaryota; Metazoa; Platyhelminthes; Trematoda; Strigeidida; Schistosomatidae.